AGUGAACGCUGGCGGUAGGCCUAACACAUGCAAGCCGAACGGCAGCACAGUAAGAGCUUGCUCUUACGGGUGGCGAGUGGCGGACGGGUGAGGAAUACAUCGGAAUCUACUUUUUCGUGGGGGAUAACGUAGGGAAACUUACGCUAAUACCGCAUACGACCUACGGGUGAAAGCAGGGGAUCUUCGGACCUUGCGCGAUUGAAUGAGCCGAUGUCGGAUUAGCUAGUUGGCGGGGUAAAGGCCCACCAAGGCGACGAUCCGUAGCUGGUCUGAGAGGAUGAUCAGCCACACUGGAACUGGGAAAACGUCCAGGAUUCUAAGGGAGGGAGGCGUUGGGAAUAUUGGACAAAGGGGGGAAGCCUGAUCCAGGCAUUCCGCGUGGGUGAAGGAGGCCUUCGGGUUGUAAAACCCUUUUUUUUGGGAAAAAAAGCAGGCAGUUAAUACCCCGCUGUUCUGACGGUACCCAAAGAAUAAGCACCGGCUAACUUCGUG
RNAcentral lists this ribosomal RNA (492 nucleotides) under uncultured bacterium. Its description in RNAcentral is "partial 16S ribosomal RNA". It matches the Rfam family "Bacterial small subunit ribosomal RNA", at positions 29 to 507 of the family's 1533-position model. The record is from RNAcentral.